Molecule: long non-coding RNA, 1499 nt
Organism: Pistacia vera
Lineage: Eukaryota; Viridiplantae; Streptophyta; Magnoliopsida; Sapindales; Anacardiaceae
Exons: 2
Source: RefSeq, a predicted model, not a curated record
AAAGAAAGAAGGAUGGUUGCGCAAAAGCAAAACCCAUUCACCCGAAGUCCGUCCAUUUUCCGGCGAUCCUUCAUCUUCAAAUUCCGGCGUUCCUUCAGCUUCUCCCACCGCCAGCCAUCAUCACCCAAGUUUCCCGUUGCCGGUGACCGUUCGUCUCCCCUCAACCGCGACCGUUCGACUUCCCGGCGAGAUUUCGCCAUUUUCCGGCGACAUCUGGACACCCUAGUGGCCGAUCCAUGCUCCCUUAGCUCAGAUUUACAUUCUCCAAGCUCCGUUGACGCUAGAUCUGGCCGGAAUCGCCGUUCCCGCUGCCAUGACUCUUCACCUUCCCGGUGUGACUUCGCUCGCUUUUCGGUGCCAUUUCGUCUCCCAAGCCACAUAUUUGGACUCCCCGUGAUCAGAUCUAUCUUCCACCAAGUUUUGGAGUAAUUAUGUCACCGGUCGCCGGCAGCUUCCAGCGUCUUUUGGUCUUCUUUGCAAUGGCUGCUGCUAUGCUUUCUCAGCCCAAGCCAUCUCUCUCACUCGCAACUCCUCAAAAACUUCAUUUUCCCACCUCAUUUCCACCUUAAGAGAAGUGGGGGAGAUUAUAAUUGAGUGUAGGAAAGAUUUAUGUGGGAUAUUGAAGCACAUUUUUUACAUGUACACCCUGCUAGCUAGUUGGUACGUUCAUCACCAUUGUUGGCCUAAAAAUAUGAGAAUAGCUUUAACUCAUAUAGCUCACACUGUUGGUAGUGGUAUAUUUUUAAGUUUGGACUUUUGCGCAUAAAGCAGCUUCUAUUGAUCUUCAGAUGGCAUACUGUGAGCUGAAUGAAAUGAAGGGUCUUUGCAAAUGCAGUACAUAUACUUUAUUUCAGCAGUUGUAAAAGUUGUCAUGGCUUUUCCAAACUAAUUUCAGGUAAUUUCUUUUCCAUUGUCUCGUCACUUUUAGGAGUUGUUGGUAUGAUAUGAUUUAGAGAUAAGUUUUGUUGAUUCUGCAUUCUUAUUGAUACUUUCAUGCUUCCUAGAACAUAUGAUUAAGAAAAAUGGGAGGGAAAACUUCGAUAACACUUCAUUUUGAAGAAAUAUUGUUAAAUCAUUUAAACUUGUCUGGUGGAAAUUUUUAGGAUUGGUCAUUCUGAAGUUAGAGAUUUAAAUAUGUUCUUUUCCUCCUUGUUUUCCAUUAAAUAUUUGGGUUGCUUUUGUUUUCAUUUUUCCUUGAAUUUGCAAUAUAUGUAAUGUCAUCCUUGAGCAUACACAUGGGAAUUGAAGAUGAUUUUGCUUUGAUGGUUUUAGAGGUUGUAAAAAUUGAAGACUUUUUUGGUAAAAAUGGUAGCACAUGGGAAUUGAAGAUGAUAUAUGUGGUUUUUGUUUAUAGAUUUUUUGAAUGAUUGGAAAGUAUUAACUAUUGUUCAUAGUUAAGUUUCCAAUCAUCUAGGUAUUAUAUAUGAUGUAAAGAAUGAUGGGUGUCUUUUUGUUAGACAUAUAUGAAGCUUUUUGUGUAUGAAGGUUUAUCAAUGAAA